Molecule: long non-coding RNA, 1128 nt
Organism: Gallus gallus (chicken)
Lineage: Eukaryota; Metazoa; Chordata; Aves; Galliformes; Phasianidae
Exons: 5
Source: RefSeq, a predicted model, not a curated record
CAGGUUGCCGGGAGAGCCGUUGUACAAACGGCCAAUCUCCUGUCCUGGAACGACCUCCGGGAGCUGGCUGAGAAACAGGAGACGUGGAGGAUCGCGGAGUGCUUGCUGCAGCGGGACCAGAGCAGGGCAGAGGAAUACCUGCAGCAGAGCCAGCCCUACCUGCAGGACCCUCAGGGGGCCUUGCGAGAGGAGGCCGUGAGGUUCAUUGGGCUUGCUGCGCGCUACUCAAGGGACCAGAGCGAGGAGAAGCUAGAGGACAUCAUCAGGGCCCUCAUGCCUUUGGCCAGUGACGCGGAGAGCUCAGUCCAAUGCUUGGCAGCUCAGACCACACUGAUCCUCAGGACAGCCUCGAGGACAGCGACGUCACGACGGAGCCUGCGAGCGCUGUGCUGUCUGUUCUGCUUGAGCUGCAGCACUCCUCUGACAGCUCUGUCCCUCAGAGGAGCACAGCAAACCCCAGUGCCCUGCUGCCCUUCACACCUGGGACAUCCCUGCGCGUGCUCAGCAGGCACCGCCAUUCCUGGCCUCUGUUCCUGGCUGCAGGACAGCACAGCACAUUCUUUUUGUAUAUGCAUGUGUUUAAUAAAAUCUUUUUAAAUAUUCAUAUUUGUGGGCAACAAUCCCAUACAACUUGCAGGAUAUUUGUCCUUUUCUCCUUGAAACUCAUGCAGCAGUGUCUGGUUCCAUGGAAGUGGUUGCAAUUCGAAACGAGUUCUCGUGGUGCUCAUCAGAGAUUUUGGAUCUAGGUUUGCUCUUGGGUUCUCCCAGGGGAGAUCAUGCUGAGCCAAGCUGGUAGCUUUCUCGGAUGUCACCAGUGGCUGGGCAGAUGGGCAGAGAGCAGUGGAGGUUGCGUACCUCGUCUUCAGCAAGCUCAGCUGGCUGUCAUCAGUGGUGCUGAGUCUGGCUGGCGGCCUGCGAGUAGCGGUGCUAGGGCUUUGGACUGCCCGCGUUGCUGCUGAUGCGCACACCUCCUGGCUGCAGUGCUGCUGCUGUGUAUCCCUGCACGGUCCCUGCUGGAGCAUGAAACCCACAGGAGAGGAGGAGCAGAGAAGCUACAGCCCACACAAGGAGCUUCUGAUGUCUUCUGAGUGUAAGGUUUCAUCCUGCAAAAAUGACCAAGGUGAGGAG